AGUGAACGCUGGCGGUAGGCCUAACACAUGCAAGUCGAACGGCAGCACAGUAAGAGCUUGCUCUUACGGGUGGCGAGUGGCGGACGGGUGAGGAAUACAUCGGAAUCUACUUUUUCGUGGGGGAUAACGUAGGGAAACUUACGCUAAUACCGCAUACGACCUACGGGUGAAAGCAGGGGAUCUUCGGACCUUGCGCGAUUGAAUGAGCCGAUGUCGGAUUAGCUAGUUGGCGGGGUAAAGGCCCACCAAGGCGACGAUCCGUAGCUGGUCUGAGAGGAUGAUCAGCGACACUGGAACUGAGACACGGUCCAGACUCCUACGGGAGGCAGCAGUGGGGAAUAUUGGACAAUGGGCGCAAGCCUGAUCCAGCCAUACCGCGUGGGUGAAGAAGGCCUUCGGGUUGUAGAGCCCUUUUGUUGGGAAAGAAAAGCAGCAGGUUAAUACCCCGCUGUUCUGACGGUACCCAAAGAAUAAGCACCGGCUAACUUCGUG
RNAcentral lists this ribosomal RNA (492 nucleotides) under uncultured bacterium. RNAcentral describes it as "partial 16S ribosomal RNA". It matches the Rfam family "Bacterial small subunit ribosomal RNA", at positions 29 to 507 of the family's 1533-position model. The record is from RNAcentral.